Molecule: ribosomal RNA, 425 nt
Filed under: uncultured bacterium
Lineage: Bacteria
Description: partial 16S ribosomal RNA
Rfam family: Bacterial small subunit ribosomal RNA
Source: RNAcentral
GUGGGGAAUCUUGCGCAAUGGGCGAAAGCCUGACGCAGCCAUGCCGCGUGAAUGAUGAAGGUCUUAGGAUUGUAAAAUUCUUUCACCGGGGACGAUAAUGACGGUACCCGGAGAAGAAGCUCCGGCUAACUUCGUGCCAGCAGCCGCGGUAAUACGAAGGGGGCUAGCGUUGCUCGGAAUUACUGGGCGUAAAGGGCGCGUAGGCGGACAGUUUAGUCAGAGGUGAAAGCCCAGGGCUCAACCGUGGAAUUGCCUUUGAUACUGGCUGUCUUGAGUACGGGAGAGGUGAGUGGAACUCCGAGUGUAGAGGUGAAAUUCGUAGAUAUUCGGAAGAACACCAGUGGCGAAGGCGACUCACUGGCCCGUUACUGACGCUGAGGCGCGAAAGCGUGGGGAGCAAACAGGAUUAGAUACCCUAGUAGUCC